This 318-nucleotide ribosomal RNA is filed under the name Triticum aestivum (bread wheat). Its description in RNAcentral is "partial small subunit ribosomal RNA". The record is from RNAcentral. Lineage: Eukaryota; Viridiplantae; Streptophyta; Magnoliopsida; Poales; Poaceae.
AUGUCGGCGAUCACCUUCCAGUGCUUCGUCAUGCCCAUGUUCAUGGGCGGGACGACCAACCAGAGGGUCGUCGAGGAGAACCUGGAGAAGCUGAAGGUGGCCCUCGGAGUCUACGAGGAGCGUCUGUCCAAAUCCCGGUACCUGGCCAGAGAUUUCAUCAGCCUGUCCGACCUCAGCCAUUGCCCCAUGGCUCACAACCUGCUGGCCAGCCCCUGCUCGUCGGUGCUCGAUGCGUAUCCGCAUGUGAAGGCGUGGGUUGAUUGCAUGAUGGAUCGGCCGAGUGUGAAGAAGGUCAUGGAGCUUAUGGAUGCUUCGUAA